GGAUCCAGACUUUGAUCCUGGCUCAGGAUGAACGCUAGCUACAGGCUUAACACAUGCAAGUCGAGGGGCAGCGGGAUUGAAGCUUGCUUCAAUUGCCGGCGACCGGCGCACGGGUGAGUAACGCGUAUCCAACCUUCCGUACACUCAGGGAUAGCCUUUCGAAAGAAAGAUUAAUACCUGAUGGUAUGAUGAGAUUGCAUGAUAGCAUCAUUAAAGAUUUAUCGGUGUACGAUGGGGAUGCGUUCCAUUAGGUAGUAGGCGGGGUAACGGCCCACCUAGCCAACGAUGGAUAGGGGUUCUGAGAGGAAGGUCCCCCACAUUGGAACUGAGACACGGUCCAAACUCCUACGGGAGGCAGCAGUGAGGAAUAUUGGUCAAUGGACGAGAGUCUGAACCAGCCAAGUAGCGUGAAGGAUGAAGGUCCUACGGAUUGUAAACUUCUUUUAUAAGGGAAUAAACCCUCCCACGUGUGGGAGCUUGUAUGUACCUUAUGAAUAAGCAUCGGCUAACUCCGUGCCAGCAGCCGCGGUAAUACGGAGGAUGCGAGCGUUAUCCGGAUUUAUUGGGUUUAAAGGGAGCGCAGACGGGUCGUUAAGUCAGCUGUGAAAGUUUGGGGCUCAACCUUAAAAUUGCAGUUGAUACUGGCGUCCUUGAGUGCGGUUGAGGUGUGCGGAAUUCGUGGUGUAGCGGUGAAAUGCUUAGAUAUCACGAAGAACCCCGAUUGCGAAGGCAGCACACUAAUCCGUAACUGACGUUCAUGCUCGAAAGUGUGGGUAUCAAACAGGAUUAGAUACCCUGGUAGUCCACACGGUAAACGAUGGAUACUCGCUGUUGGCGAUAUACUGUCAGCGGCUUAGCGAAAGCGUUAAGUAUCCCACCUGGGGAGUACGCCGGCAACGGUGCAACUCAAAUGAAUUGACGG
Molecule: ribosomal RNA, 922 nt
Filed under: uncultured Bacteroidota bacterium
Lineage: Bacteria; Pseudomonadati; Bacteroidota
Description: bacterial SSU rRNA
Rfam family: Bacterial small subunit ribosomal RNA
Source: RNAcentral